CCUACGGGGGGCUGCAGUGGGGAAUAUUGGACAAUGGGGGGAACCCUGAUCCAGCCAUGCCGCGUGUGUGAAGAAGGCCCUCGGGUUGUAAAGCACUUUCAGUGAGGAAGAACGCCUGGUGGUUAAUACCCAUCAGGAAAGACAUCACUCACAGAAGAAGCACCGGCUAACUCCGGGCCAGCAGCCGCGGUAAUACGGAGGGUGCGAGCGUUAAUCGGAAUUACUGGGCGUAAAGCGCGCGUAGGUGGCUUGAUAAGCCGGUUGUGAAAGCCCCGGGCUCAACCGGGGAACGGCAUCCGGAACUGUCAAGCUAGAGUGCAGGAGAGGAAGGUAGAAUUCCCGGUGUAGCGGUGAAAUGCGUAGAGAUCGGGAGGAAUACCAGUGGCGAAGGCGGCCUUCUGGACUGACACUGACACUGAGGUGCGAAAGCGUGGGUAGCAAACAGGAUUAGAUACCCUGGUAGUC
Molecule: ribosomal RNA, 465 nt
Filed under: Vreelandella stevensii
Lineage: Bacteria; Pseudomonadati; Pseudomonadota; Gammaproteobacteria; Oceanospirillales; Halomonadaceae
Description: partial 16S ribosomal RNA
Rfam family: Bacterial small subunit ribosomal RNA
Source: RNAcentral